GGAGGGUAUAGCUCAGUGGUAGAGCAUGUGCUUAACAUGCACGAGAUCCUGGGUUCAAUCCCCAGUACCUCCA
This 73-nucleotide transfer RNA is filed under the name Vicugna pacos (alpaca). Its description in RNAcentral is "tRNA-Val (AAC) (tRNA-Val-AAC-26-1)". It matches the Rfam family "tRNA". Rfam says of the family: Transfer RNA (tRNA) molecules are approximately 80 nucleotides in length. Their secondary structure includes four short double-helical elements and three loops (D, anti-codon, and T loops). Lineage: Eukaryota; Metazoa; Chordata; Mammalia; Artiodactyla; Camelidae. The record is from RNAcentral.